GAGUUCAAGAGUACGUGAAACUGCUUAGAGGUUAAGCCCGAUGACCCUGAAUAUCCGUUAUGGAAAAUUCAUCAUUAAUUUUAUAAUAUUUAUCAUAUUGUAAUAAUAGUGUGCAAUUUUUCCAUAUAAGGACAUUGUAAUCUGUUAAUGUAUUAAAUAUUUAUUAAAAGAUCUUAUGCGUAAGUUUAUUUGAAUUAGUUAUUUUCGAAUUUCUAACAUAAAGUAAAUGCAUUUGAUUUAAUAAAUCAUUGACAGAUUUUAUUAUAUAUAGUGCUUAAAUUUUUUCGGAAAUUUUACAAUAGCAUGAUAAUUCUAUUUAUUAUGUUUAUUGUAUGCGCUUAUAUGAUUAACAAUGCGAUAGAUUCAGGAUACCUUCGGGACCCGUCUUGAAACACGGACCAAGGAGUCUAACAUAUGUGCAAGUCAUUGGGUAUUUUUAAUAAAACCCAAUGGCAUAAUUAACUUAACUGUUUUAUAUAUGGGAUUAGUUUAAAUUUUAUUAUGAAAUAUAAAUUCAAUCCCGGGGCGUUCUAUACAGUUAUGCAUAAUGGUAUUUAUAUUAUUUAUGCCUCUAACUAAGAGC
RNAcentral lists this ribosomal RNA (583 nucleotides) under Rhingia campestris. Its description in RNAcentral is "eukaryotic LSU rRNA". The record is from RNAcentral. Lineage: Eukaryota; Metazoa; Arthropoda; Insecta; Diptera; Syrphidae.